UACGUAGGUGGCAAGCGUUGUCCGGAUUUACUGGGCGUAAAGCGCGUGUAGGCGGCCCGGUAAGUCCGCUGUGAAAGUCCAGGGCUCAACCCUGGGAUGCCGGUGGAUACUGUCGGGCUCGAGUCCGGAAGAGGCGAGUGGAAUUCCUGGUGUAGCGGUGAAAUGCGCAGAUAUCAGGAGGAACACCAAUGGCGAAGGCAGCUCGCUGGGACGUGACUGACGCUGAGACGCGAAAGCGUGGGGAGCAAACAGG
RNAcentral lists this ribosomal RNA (253 nucleotides) under uncultured bacterium. Its description in RNAcentral is "partial 16S ribosomal RNA". It matches the Rfam family "Bacterial small subunit ribosomal RNA", at positions 524 to 776 of the family's 1533-position model. The record is from RNAcentral.